RNAcentral lists this ribosomal RNA (253 nucleotides) under uncultured bacterium. Its description in RNAcentral is "partial 16S ribosomal RNA". It matches the Rfam family "Bacterial small subunit ribosomal RNA", at positions 524 to 776 of the family's 1533-position model. The record is from RNAcentral.
GACAGAGGAGCCAAGCGUUGUCCGGAUUGACUGGGCGUAAAGCGCACGCAGGCGGCUCUGCGCGUGGGGUGUGAAAGCUCUUGGCUUAACUAAGAGAGGCCAUCCCAUACGGCAGAGCUCGAGCCAUGCAGAGGUCCGCGGAAUUGCCGGUGUAGUGGUGAAAUGCGUAGAGAUCGGCAGGAACACCCAGGGGGAAACCAGCGGACUGGGCAUGUGCUGACGCUCAGGUGCGACAGCGUGGGGAGCGAACCGG